AGUAGGCCCGGAGUGGUGCCAGCAGGAGGUGGCCUUAGAAAGGCGGAGACCCAAGGAGCAGAGUGAGUCGGCGUCCAGCUCCACCUGAAAGCGCCAUCUUGUCGCCACUUCCCUCAGGAGCAGGAACAGAAAAGAAAGAAGUCAGUUUUGCUGUAUUUGAUUGAGUCUGAGGAUGAUGAUGGUCUGUAAGGAGGACACUGGUAUAAGGAACCUCAAGAAGUUUUUACUCAAUUCUAUGGCUUGAAUGU
This 248-nucleotide long non-coding RNA is filed under the name Homo sapiens (human). RNAcentral describes it as "HSALNT0353577". Lineage: Eukaryota; Metazoa; Chordata; Mammalia; Primates; Hominidae. The record is from RNAcentral.